UCCGCUCCGUGUGCGGCGGCGCUGCGGGACCGGGCGCGGCCCUCCCGUUUAAUAUGCAUCAACUGCACCCUCAAGGCUUUGAAACAGAUCUGCCACCAGACAUGGAUACUCGAAUGCUACUUCACAAGGUUUUGACUGGUGCAUCUGAAAGAGUUGCAGAAGAAACAUGAUCUGGCACUGGGAGAUAAAGCUGUGAGCUGGGCAAAGCUGCCCUAGGCAGAGGAUGCCUGUGCCUGCAGUGUGAGAUGCUUCUUCACCUGUUACUGAUGCUGGUGCAGACAAGUCUUCCCUAAUUAAAGGCUUCGAGAAUGCUUCUCGUUGUGAUGGCUGGUGUGAUGGGGCUAUGAAGUGAUGCAGCUGGUGCUACCAGCAAAAAAUGAAGCUUGUGGGGAGUUUGUGUGACAAAGAAGACUAACUUGUGUCUGAGGAGAGGACUGUGCUGUCUGCAGCCUCACUAGGUGAGGAGGCAACUUUGAAAUGGCUGCAAGAAGAACCAAGGAGGUGGAAGAUUGCAGAAUAAUGGGUUACACUUGCAUGAACAGCAUUAAAAAAGCCAAGGUGUUUUUACCACACUGAAGAUAUUUGCCUGAUAGUGAGUGGAACCAAUAAAAAUUUGUGAACUCUG
Molecule: long non-coding RNA, 625 nt
Organism: Apus apus (common swift)
Lineage: Eukaryota; Metazoa; Chordata; Aves; Apodiformes; Apodidae
Exons: 12
Source: RefSeq, a predicted model, not a curated record